This 73-nucleotide transfer RNA is filed under the name Sudis atrox (fierce pike smelt). RNAcentral describes it as "tRNA-Trp". It matches the Rfam family "tRNA". From Rfam's summary of the family: Transfer RNA (tRNA) molecules are approximately 80 nucleotides in length. Their secondary structure includes four short double-helical elements and three loops (D, anti-codon, and T loops). Lineage: Eukaryota; Metazoa; Chordata; Actinopteri; Aulopiformes; Paralepididae. The record is from RNAcentral.
AGAGGUUUAGGCUAAUUAUGAAGACCGAGGGCCUUCAAAGCCCUAAGUGAGAGUGAAAACCUCUCAACCCCUA